UACGGAAGGCAGCAGUGGGGAAUAUUGCACAAUGGGCGAAAGCCUGAUGCAGCUAUGCCGCGUGUAUGAAGAAGGCCUUAGGGUUGUAAAGUACUUUCAUCGGGGAGGAAAAACAAAACUAAUAAUUUUAUUUCUUGACGUUACCCGAAAAAGAAGCACCGGCUAACUCCGUGCCAGCAGCCGCGGUAAUACGGAGGGUGCUAGCGUUAAUCAGAAUUACUGGGCGUAAAGAGCACGUAGGUGGUUUUUUUAAGUCAGAUGUGAAUCCCUGGGCUUAACCUAGGAACUGCAUUUUGAAACUGAAAUACUAGAGUAUCGUAGAGGGAGGUAGAAUUCUAGGUGUAGCGGUGAAAUGCGUAGAUAUCUGGAGGAAUACCUGUGGCGAAAGCGGCCUCCUAAACGAAUACUGACACUGAGGUGCGAAAGCGUGGGGAGCAAACAGGGAUUAGAUA
This 452-nucleotide ribosomal RNA is filed under the name uncultured bacterium. RNAcentral's name for it is "bacterial SSU rRNA". It matches the Rfam family "Bacterial small subunit ribosomal RNA", at positions 340 to 784 of the family's 1533-position model. The record is from RNAcentral.